Molecule: small nuclear RNA, 108 nt
Filed under: Neotoma lepida (desert woodrat)
Lineage: Eukaryota; Metazoa; Chordata; Mammalia; Rodentia; Cricetidae
Source: RNAcentral
GUGUUCACUUUGGCAGCACAUAUUCUAAAAUUGGAACAAUACAAAGAAGAUUAGCAUGGCCACUGCACAAAGGAUGACAUGCAGAUUUGCAAAGUAUUCCAUAUAUUU